This 473-nucleotide ribosomal RNA is filed under the name uncultured bacterium. RNAcentral's name for it is "bacterial SSU rRNA". It matches the Rfam family "Bacterial small subunit ribosomal RNA", at positions 342 to 807 of the family's 1533-position model. The record is from RNAcentral.
CGGGAGGCAGCAGUUAGGAAUCUUCCGCAAUGGGCGAAAGCCUGACGGAGCGACACCGCGUGGAGGACGAAGGCCUUCGGGUUGUAAACUCCUUUUCUAGGGGAAGAAUAAGGCGGGGAGGAAAUGUCCCGCCGAUGACAGUACCCUAGGAACAAGCCACGGCUAACUCUGUGCCAGCAGCCGCGGUAAGACAGAGGUGGCGAGCGUUACCCGGAUUCACUGGGCGUAAAGGGCGUGUAGGCGGUUGGGUGUGUCGACUGUGAAAGCCCCCUGCUCAACGGGGGGAGGCCAGUCGAAACUGCCCGACUCGAGGGCCGGAGGGGGAAGCGGAACUACCAGAGUAGCGGUGAAAUGCGUAGAUACUGGUAGGAACCCCGAUAGCGAAGGCAGCUUCCUGGCCGGUUCCUGACGCUGAGGCGCGAAAGCGUGGGGAGCGAACCGGAUUAGAUACCCGGGUAGUCCACGCCCUAAAC